This 497-nucleotide ribosomal RNA is filed under the name uncultured bacterium. RNAcentral describes it as "partial 16S ribosomal RNA". It matches the Rfam family "Bacterial small subunit ribosomal RNA", at positions 28 to 507 of the family's 1533-position model. The record is from RNAcentral.
GAUGAACGCUGGCGGCGUGCCUAAUACAUGCAAGUCGAGCGAACGGACGAGAAGCUUGCUUCUCUGAUGUUAGCGGCGGACGGGUGAGUAGCACGUGGAUAACCUACCUAUAAGACUGGGAUAACUUCGGGAAACCGGAGCUAAUACCGGAUAAUAUUUUGAACCGCAUGGUUCAAAAGUGAAAGACGGUCUUGCUGUCACUUAUAGAUGGAUCCGCGCUGCAUUAGCUAGUUGGUAAGGUAACGGCUUACCAAGGCAACGAUGCAUAGCCGACCUGAGAGGGUGAUCGGCCACACUGGAACUGAGACACGGUCCAGACUCCUACGGGAGGCAGCAGUAGGGAAUCUUCCGCAAUGGGCGAAAGCCCGACGGAGCAACGCCGCGUGAGUGAUGAAGGUCUUCGGAUCGUAAAACUCUGUUAUUAGGGAAGAACAUAUGUGUAAGUAACUGUGCACAUCUUGACGGUACCUAAUCAGAAAGCCACGGCUAACUACGUG